This 439-nucleotide ribosomal RNA is filed under the name uncultured bacterium. RNAcentral's name for it is "partial 16S ribosomal RNA". It matches the Rfam family "Bacterial small subunit ribosomal RNA", at positions 339 to 795 of the family's 1533-position model. The record is from RNAcentral.
CUACGGGUCGCUGCAGUGAGGAAUAUUGCACAAUGGGGGGAACCCUGAUGCAGCAACGCCGCGUGGAGGAUGACGCAUUUCGGUGUGUAAACUCCUUUUAUAUGUCAAGAAAAUGACGGUAGCAUAUGAAUAAGCACCGGCUAACUCCGUGCCAGCAGCCGCGGUAAUAGGGAGGGUGCAAGCGUUACUCGGAAUCACUGGGCGUAAAGGACGCGUAGGCGGGUUGGAAAGUCAGGUGUGAAAUCCUACAGCUUAACUGUAGAACUGCACUUGAAACUUCUAAUCUAGAGUAUGGGAGGGGGAGAUGGAAUUAGUGGUGUAGGGGUAAAAUCCGUAGAUAUCACUAGGAGUACCUAAAGCGAAGGCGAUCUCCUGGAACAUUACUGACGCUAAGGCGUGAAAGCGUGGGGAGCAAACAGGAUUAGAUACCCCAGUAGUC